Molecule: ribosomal RNA, 395 nt
Filed under: uncultured bacterium
Lineage: Bacteria
Description: bacterial SSU rRNA
Rfam family: Bacterial small subunit ribosomal RNA
Source: RNAcentral
AUUGAACGCUGGCGGCAGGCCUAACACAUGCAAGUCGAGCGGUAACAGAACUAGCUUGCUAGUUGCUGACGAGCGGCGGACGGGUGCGUAACACGUAGGAAUCUGCCCGGUAGUGGGGGAUAGCCCGGAGAAAUCCGGAUUAAUACCGCAUACGCACUCUCUUUUAUAAGAGGGUGGAAAGAUGGCCUCUUCAAGAAAGCUGUCGCUAUCGGAUGAGCCUGCGUCGGAUUAGCUAGUUGGUAGGGUAAAGGCCUACCAAGGCAACGAUCCGUAGCUGGUCUGAGAGGAUGAUCAGCCACACUGGGACUGAGACACGGCCCAGACUCCUACGGGAGGCAGCAGUGGGGAAUAUUGCACAAUGGGCGCAAGCCUGAUGCAGCCAUGCCGCGUGUGUG